This 294-nucleotide ribosomal RNA is filed under the name uncultured bacterium. Its description in RNAcentral is "partial 16S ribosomal RNA". It matches the Rfam family "Bacterial small subunit ribosomal RNA", at positions 775 to 1067 of the family's 1533-position model. The record is from RNAcentral.
GGAUUAGAUACCCUGGUAGUCCACGCCGUAAACGAUGAACACCAGCUGUUUGGACAUACGACAGUCCAAGUGGCGCAGCUAACGCGAUGAGUGUUCCGCCUGGGGAGUACGGUCGCAAGACUAAAACUCAAAGGAAUUGACGGGGGCCCGCACAAGCGGUGGAGCAUGUGGUUUAAUUCGACGCAACGCGAAGAACCUUACCUGGGUUUGACAUCCCCGGGCCUCCCUGGAAACAGGGAUUUCUCUUCGGAGACCGGGUGACAGGUGCUGCAUGGCUGUCGUCAGCUCGUGCCG